Molecule: ribosomal RNA, 494 nt
Filed under: uncultured bacterium
Lineage: Bacteria
Description: bacterial SSU rRNA
Rfam family: Bacterial small subunit ribosomal RNA
Source: RNAcentral
AAAUGAAUAGACGGGGGCCCGCACAAGCGGUGGAGCAUGUGGUUUAAUUCGAUGCAACGCGAAGAACCUUACCUACCCUUGACAUCGUGCGAACUUGGUAGAGAUACCUUGGUGCCUUCGGGAACGCACAGACAGGUGCUGCAUGGCUGUCGUCAGCUCGUGUUGUGAAAUGUUGGGUUAAGUCCCGUAACGAGCGCAACCCUUGUCCCUAUUUGCCAGCGAUUCGGUCGGGAACUCUAGGGAGACUGCCGGUGACAAACCGGAGGAAGGUGGGGACGACGUCAAGUCAUCAUGGCCCUUACGGGUAGGGCUACACACGUGCUACAAUGGACGGUACAAAGGGUUGCAAGACCGCGAGGUGGAGCUAAUCCCAGAAAGCUGUUCUCAGUCCGGAUCGGAGUCUGCAACUCGACUCCGUGAAGUCGGAAUCGCUAGUAAUCGUGAAUCAGAAUGUCACGGUGAAUACGUUCCCGGGCCUUGUACACACCGCCCGU